This is an unclassified non-coding RNA of Pongo abelii (Sumatran orangutan), 148 nucleotides long. It matches the Rfam family "Metazoan signal recognition particle RNA". From Rfam's summary of the family: The signal recognition particle (SRP) is a universally conserved ribonucleoprotein. It is involved in the co-translational targeting of proteins to membranes. The eukaryotic SRP consists of a 300-nucleotide 7S RNA and six proteins: SRPs 72, 68, 54, 19, 14, and 9. Lineage: Eukaryota; Metazoa; Chordata; Mammalia; Primates; Hominidae. The record is from Ensembl.
GCUGGGCAUGGUGGCAUGUGCCUGUAGUCCCAGCUACUCAGGAAGCUGAGGCAGGAGGAUUAUUUGAGCCUGGGAGGUCAAGGCUGCAGUGAGCUAUCAUCACACCACUGCACUCUAGCCUGGGCAAAAGAGCAAGAUCCUGUCUCAA